This is an RNA transcript of Cornus florida, 4221 nucleotides long. RefSeq lists it as uncharacterized. The record is from RefSeq and is a predicted model, not a curated record. The transcript is spliced from 7 exons. Lineage: Eukaryota; Viridiplantae; Streptophyta; Magnoliopsida; Cornales; Cornaceae.
UAAAAUAAGGGCGGGACGCUUCAUGAACCAGGUAAGUGAGAGAGAGUGUUUUAUAAACCAGUUGCGAUUACAUAUUAAGAAACUACUAUAAAACAAGGAAUUUAAUUAUGAGAUUUCAAAUCCCAUUAAAAAUUCAUUUCCAUUUUAAAAAUAUAUUCCUCUUAGUUCCAUUUUGAAUUCCAAGUCUCAUCAAAUCCCACCGCCAUUCCAAACAGAGUGUAACGUGAAUCACGAAUCUUAUUCUUAUAUCAUCUCUUUAUAAAACGGUGCAUAUUUUUCGUCUGUCACUUCCCCCCUCUCAAACCCUAACCCUAACAACCGCUGCUGCCUCCAACUUUGAAGGCAUUGGAGUCUCUCGAUCGCACCCAAGAAGAGAAUGCCUAUAAUAUCUUCUUUAGUUUUAAAAAAAUUGAUCAGUCACCUAAAGGUGAAGUGUUCAGUAAAAUCUGAAGCACAGUUUUUUUUGGCCCUCCCACUUCCCAGAAGAAUUGCUGGACUUGAUCUUGGAACAUCUCACGGACUUGUCUGAUCUCAUUCGAUCGCGGUGUCUGCCAUUCAUGGGGAUCUGCUGCAGCUCGGAAGCUUUGUGGUGUGGAUUUUAAGGUAAAACAUGUUACUAUUGGGGGGUAAAAGUUGAAGCUUGCAAUUUGGGAUGCAGUUUAUGAUGUAACACGACGAGAAACAUUUACGAAUCUAUCUGAUGUAUGGGCUAAAGAAAUUGACUUGUACUCAACAAAUCAGGAUCGCAUCAGGAUGCUUGUUGGCAACAAAGUUGAUAAGGAGAGUGAAAGGGUUGUCACCAAAAGAGAGGGUGUUGACUUUGCUAGGGAAUGUGGAUGCCUUUUCAUCGAAUGUAGUGCAAAAACUCGGGCCAAUGUGGAGCAAUGCUUUGAGGAACUUGUUCUGAAGAUUUUAGAAACUCCAAGUCUUUUGGCUGAGGGCUCAACUGGUCAAAAGGAACAUCUUUAAACAAAAACCUCCAGAGGCUGAUGCAUCAGCUAGCGGGUGUUGCUGAAGGUGACGGAGACUAUCCCUUACUUGUCAGCAACUCUCGCUUGUCCAUGCAGCGUUCUGAUAUGCCUUGGCCAAUGAUAAAAUCAAUUUAAAAUAUGCAAUCAAGAUUCAAGUUUGGGAAUCUGGAUGAAUUGGCACAAACAGUAGGGCCAUUGUUUUUCACGAAAUGCAUAAAGGACUAUACCCAAAGAAAAGAAUCAAUAGUAGUUGAAACAUCUCUCUCUUACAAGUAAAAGAGGAAUAUUGGGGUGUGUGUGUGUGUUGGGGUUUGUGUUGGGGAAGUACUUCUGGACCGGGACAAUGCAAAGCUUUUCUGGUUUGACUUGAGAACGAAAACAGUCAAGAAUGUUAGGAUUCCUUGUUUGCCGACUUUCUAUGGAGAUCUAAUUUGUGUGGGAAGUCUAGUUCCACUCCACAGUAAUGGUGGAUGAGAUGGAAAAACCAGCAAGCACAAGAGAAGGUGAGAGCAAGAAGAAUAGAAAGGAGAGUGUUCCUAUUGAGAUUGCCGCUGGUUUUGGGAAUUCAAGUAUCUUUACCCUACUGCCAGGGCAUUGAGAAGUUUUAUUCAGAACGACUCAAGGAAAACAAAGAAGAACAGAAGUAAGUAUGAGGAGUGAUCUAUAUUUUUUUGAAGUGAGCAGAAACUUUUAUUCCAUUUGAUCAAUGGUUUCAGACUAUGUCCACUCACUACUAUUGGUAUUACUAGGCUUAUCUGAAUGUGUUUGAUUAAACAUCAAUAAUUUAUAAUUGUAUUUUGAUUUGAUAUCUUUUUUUUAUUAAGGUUAAAUUUGAAAGAAAUAUCUAAUAAUAAUUAAAAUAUAUAGAGAAUGCAGAAAAGGAUAUAUAUGUAUUGUGUCUUCAGUACAUUAUUUUUUAAGGCGAAUUGAAAAAAAAAAAAAACCCUUGCCUAUUACUCACUUGCAAGAAAUUUUCCUUGUGAGAUAGCAAGGAAAACCCCCCUCCCCUAUAUUGAGGGGGCAUUUUAACUGACGGAUCAGCCACCACAAUCCACCUCCGUCCAACACAAAAUCCAAAAAAAUCAAACAUCAUCAUCACAUUAUCCAGACAAUUGUCCCUACCAAAACGAAAUUGCAAAUAAACAGGAACAACAUAUAUCUGCGUAAAAGCAUCGAUAUGAAGCAAAAAAAAAAAAAACCAAAAUUUAGAAACGAAAAAAGAAAACCCAAUACAAGAAUUGAAGAUCAGGAAAAGGGAUCUUAGAGUCGAAGAAAAUGAAGAGGAAGGUUCAAUGGAACGGAGCUGUUGGUGUUGCUUUUGUUCAAUAUUAAUUAAUUAAUCAAAUCUGUUUUUCUCAGCAAUUAUCUCUAUCGGCUUGAGGUAAGCACUUUGCCAAAGUUAGAGAGAGAGUGUCUUGCUUCUAAAUCGGACUUUAGAGAGCGAGAGAGAGAGAGAGAGAGGGGCGUCAAAUUUUGUGUUGUAAACUGUUAACGGUCGUUAGACACUUAUAUCCUGGAUUGGAUUGGUGAAUUUCCCUUUUAGAAAUAUGACUUCUCUCGAACCCUAACCCUAAUUUGAAAAGGAAACCUAACCCUAUAUAUAUAUAUAAUAACCCACCACUCCUCCGAUAUAUCUUCAUUCCACGGCCUCUUCCUCAAACCCGACCACCAAAAUCCCAAAGCCCAAGAAGGCUAACGGCGAUCGGUUAUUCAUCUAACGUAAUUGCUAGGUAUCCAACGGCUAAAGAAGCGUACUUUGGAUUGCUCAGAGACCAAAUGGCUUGUUCGGUAACCCAACCACCGUUUUGUUGGCCCUCCGACCUCCCGGAAGAAUUGCUGGAUUUGAUCUUGGACCAUCUCCGGGACUUGUCCGAUCUCAACCGAUGUCGCGGCGUCUGCCGUUGGUGGCGAUCUGCUGCAGCUCGGAUGAUUUGUGGUAAUAAUAAUCAUGCUCUCCCUCCAUUCCUACUCAUAUUUGCUUUUCAAACUCUCAUCUUAUCAAGAGAUUGGGAUAGAGAUUGGAAUAGAGUUUUUUGCUUACCUAAAAGAAAAUCCAAGAGAUUUGAGGUUGAUAUCCCAAAAAUCCUUCGCUUUGUUUUGGUUCAACCCCAUGCAUCUCGUCUUACCGUGGUUGGCUACUAGUGCUUAUACUCCGAACCCGUAUUGAUACUAUAUAUAAGGGACACCUGAUAUUAUCAGGUACUGAUAUAACAACCGGUACUCAAAUUACAGUCUCCCAAUUUUCUUAUCCGGAACCAGAUCUUGUUGAAACAACACCACUGUAUCUUUUCAAUCCGCAUUCAAGAAUGCUAGUCAAGCUUCGGGAACCUCCACGGCGACUGUGUAUGAAUGGACAGCUUAGAUUCGUCACUUCAUGCACUGCUGCGGAUCCCAAUUGUAUCAUUUUUGCCUACAAUCUUUGCUCAAACUCGGUGGCUUUUUACGUACUACGACACAAAAAGUGGUCGCCUCUCUUUACUUUUAAUAAUUCAAACAACACAAGAAGACCGGUUGAAGCCAUUUUCUACCAGGGUCACUUCUAUGCAGCUGAUAAUCAUGGUGUGGUUCGACGGCUAUUGUUCGACAUUGAAGAUAAUUCUUACGAGGAGGAAGUGGUGUCGGUUGAUAUUGGUGGUACGACACCACAUAGAUACCUGGUUGAGUCCCCGUCUUCUUCGUCUCUGAUGAUGGUUGUGAGGAGGUUUCACCUUCAAACAGGGGAAAUGAAAACCAAGUCGUUCGAGAUUUUCAAGUUGGAUUGGAGGAAUGGUAAAUGGGAAGAGGUGAAUAGCUUGGGUGAUCAAGCCCUCUUCUUGUCCCAUCACGACUCUAAACUUGUCUCCCACUAUCCUGGAUAUAGCCUUAACUCCUUCUAUUUCAGGAAGAACACUAUCUUUUUCGUUGAUGAUCUCUUUGCACAUUGGAACUCAGGUAGCUGUGAUUUUGGGUUGUAUGACUUGGGAGAUCGGAUGGUUCGUCCACUAAAUAUAUAUAGCCUGUACACGGAUAGUCCAUAUUGUGGAUGGUUUCAACCGGCACCAUAGAUCCUGAUAUGCUUCAAGAAUUAAAGCUUGGCAAGUGACGAGGAGGAAGUUAUAAAUCUUGAUGAAAGAGACACUAAGAACGGAAAGGAGUGGAUGUAUGAAAAAGUUUUUUUAUUUUUAGAAUUGUAUCAGAGUCUGUCGAGCUCUUAAAGCACCCAUAAUAUAUUUUUGGUGAAUAUAUAAGCUUUUUAUAUUCUGUAUUUGCA